CCUACGGGGGGCAGCAGUGAGGAAUAUUGGUCAAUGGCCGAGAGGCUGAACCAGCCAAGUCGCGUGAGGGAAGACGGCCCUACGGGUUGUAAACCUCUUUUGUCGGGGAGCAAAGCGAGUCACGUGUGACUCAUUGAGAGUACCCGAAGAAAAAGCAUCGGCUAACUCCGUGCCAGCAGCCGCGGUAAUACGGAGGAUGCGAGCGUUAUCCGGAUUUAUUGGGUUUAAAGGGUGCGCAGGCGGCGUGGCAAGUCAGCGGUAAAAUGUCGGGGCUCAACCCCGGCCGGCCGUUGAAACUGGCGUGAUCGAGUUGGAGAGAAGUAUGCGGAAGUCGUGGUGUAGCGGUGAAAUGCAUAGAUAUCACGAAGAACCCCGAUUGCGAAGGCAGCAUACCGGCUCCACACUGACGCUGAGGCACGAAAGCGUGGGUAUCGAACAGGAUUAGAUACCCUUGUAGUC
Molecule: ribosomal RNA, 459 nt
Filed under: uncultured bacterium
Lineage: Bacteria
Description: partial 16S ribosomal RNA
Rfam family: Bacterial small subunit ribosomal RNA
Source: RNAcentral